AUUGAACGCUGGCGGCAUGCCUUACACAUGCAAGUCGAGCGGCAGCGCGGGGGCAACCCUGGCGGCGAGCGGCGGACGGGUGAGUAAUACAUCGGAACGUGUCCUUUCGUGGGGGAGUAACCAGUCGAAAGACUGGCUAAUACCGCAUGAGAUCUCACGAUGAAAGCGGGGGACCGCAAGGCCUCGCGCGAUUGGAGCGGCCGAUGUCGGAUUAGCUAGNGGCGGGGUAAAGCCCACCAAGGCUACGAUCCGUAGCUGGUAUGAGAGUACGACCAGCCACACUGGGACUGAGACACGGCCCAGACUCCUACGGGAGGCAGCAGUGGGGAAUUUUGGACAAUGGGCGCAAGCCUGAUCCAG
RNAcentral lists this ribosomal RNA (360 nucleotides) under uncultured bacterium. Its description in RNAcentral is "bacterial SSU rRNA". It matches the Rfam family "Bacterial small subunit ribosomal RNA", at positions 29 to 391 of the family's 1533-position model. The record is from RNAcentral.